CGGGUUGUCAUGCCAAUGGCACUGCCCGGUAGCUAAAUGCGGAAGAGAUAAGUGCUGAAAGCAUCUAAGCACGAAACUUGCCCCGAGAUGAGUUCUCCCUGAGACUUAGAGUCUCCUGAAGGAACGUUGAAGACGACGACGUUGAUAGGCCGGGUGUGUAAGCGCAGCGAUGCGUUGAGCUAACCGGUACUAAUGAACCGUGAGGCUUAACCUUAC
RNAcentral lists this ribosomal RNA (216 nucleotides) under Salmonella enterica subsp. enterica serovar Typhimurium str. ST4581. RNAcentral's name for it is "partial 23S ribosomal RNA". It matches the Rfam family "Bacterial large subunit ribosomal RNA", at positions 2717 to 2925 of the family's 2925-position model. Lineage: Bacteria; Pseudomonadati; Pseudomonadota; Gammaproteobacteria; Enterobacterales; Enterobacteriaceae. The record is from RNAcentral.